GCCCAGCGCAGCGAUACACAUCCGUGGUCCCAGCUACUCGGGAGGCUGGGGCGGGAGGAUCACUUGAGCCCAGGAGUUCUGGGCUGUAGUGCAGUGUGCUGAUUGGGUGUCCACAUUAAGUCUGGCAUCAAUAUGGUGACCUCCCGGGAGGAGGGAACCACCAGGUUGCCCAAGGAGGGUUGAACCAGCCUAGGUUGGAAACGGAGAUGGUCAAAACUCCAGUGCUGCGGGGUGCAGUGGCUCAAGCCUGUAAUCCCAGCACUUUGGGAGGCCGAGACGGGCGGAUCACGAGGUCAGGAGAUUGAGACCAUCCUGGCUAACACGGUGAAACCCCAUCUCU
This 340-nucleotide signal recognition particle RNA is filed under the name Piliocolobus tephrosceles (Ugandan red Colobus). Its description in RNAcentral is "Metazoan signal recognition particle RNA (ENSPTEG00000030130.1)". It matches the Rfam family "Metazoan signal recognition particle RNA". Rfam says of the family: The signal recognition particle (SRP) is a universally conserved ribonucleoprotein. The record is from RNAcentral. Lineage: Eukaryota; Metazoa; Chordata; Mammalia; Primates; Cercopithecidae.